UAGCGAGGCACUACACGUGUGCAGUUACACUGAGAGAAUCUUAUCUCGGACACAGUGCUUCUGAAGGAGGUAGCGACGCCACCUUCAGGGUGACCCAGAAGACAAUCACAUAACAGGGGCGACACACUGCGUUACAUCUCCAUCAUGCUCGAUGGCUAGCGCACUCACCUCACACACGGAGGUCCGGAGUUGGAAUCUCCUCAACAUACGUGCACACGGUGGGUGUCUGGGCACCCGGAGGGCUCCAGGUGGCAACAAUCAACAGCCCCUCCCAGCAGACAUAGGUGACAGCUGCCGCGCCUUUACAGAGGGACUGGGAUCUUCAGUCAACUUGGCGUCCACCAGGACGUUGACAAGUCCCCAGGGCGGCUCUCCCUCGGGCUGCUAGCGGAGUCGUGGCCUCUUGGAGAGGAUGGUGCUCCUGCAAACAACAGAUCCCGGGGCAACUUGCUGCUGUUUGCAAUGGCUGUCUGGCUGUCCUGCCGAGGAGGGACAGGCACCUAGCAACAUCUGUUGGCAAUGGAUGAAUUCCCUACAAUGUUUGUCAACUGAUCAUUACUCUGAUAAUUGUUCAUGAUUGUAAUCAUGUGUUCACGAUCUAUUACCUUUGAAACUUGUCAUGAUUGUAACCAGCUCUACCUGGAGCUCAUUACCUUUUUCAAUUCUCAUUAUUGUAACCAGAUCUAGUUCAUUACCUUUGUAAUUAGUCAUGAGUGUGACCAGCUGUACCUGGAACUCAUUACCUUUGUAACUUGGUCACGAUUGUGACCAGAUCUAGUUCAUUACCUUCGUAACUUGUUCAGCUAUCAAAACUUUGGAGUCCAGUCCCUGGACCAAUUAUGUACCUCUGUAAUCUUUUGACUACCACCCACAGGAUGGGUAUGUGGUGACUAGCGCCCACAGGAUGGGUAUGGGGUGCAUAAUAAACAUAUUAAACUAAAACUAACUCCGGUACAGCUGGAUAACAUUA
Non-coding RNA from Cherax quadricarinatus, 970 nucleotides. NCBI's taxonomy places the organism in Eukaryota, Metazoa, Arthropoda, Malacostraca, Decapoda, Parastacidae. The record is from RefSeq and is a predicted model, not a curated record.